RNAcentral lists this ribosomal RNA (169 nucleotides) under Sigmops gracilis (slender fangjaw). Its description in RNAcentral is "partial 12S ribosomal RNA". Lineage: Eukaryota; Metazoa; Chordata; Actinopteri; Stomiiformes; Gonostomatidae. The record is from RNAcentral.
CGCCGCGGUUAUACGAAAGACCCAAGUUGAUAAUCACCGGCGCAAAGCAUGGUUAAGGACAUAAUAAACUGAAGCUGAACCCUCCCCCUGCUGUUAUACGCCCCCGGAAAAAUAUACCCCUAUCACGAAAGUAGCUUCAUCCCCACCUGAACCCAUGACAUCUAAGAGA